Molecule: ribozyme, 80 nt
Filed under: unclassified sequences
Also listed under: 1 other name
Description: HDV ribozyme from F. prausnitzii
Rfam family: HDV ribozyme from F. prausnitzii
Source: RNAcentral
UCCGCUCGAAACUUUGCACACCUCUACGCGGUGGGCGGCAGGCAACACAGUGUGUAGAUGCUGUGGCAAAGAAUGCAAGA